UGGGGAAUUUUGGACAAUGGGCGCAAGCCUGAUCCAGCCAUGCCGCGUGCGGGAAGAAGGCCUUCGGGUUGUAAACCGCUUUUGUCAGGGAAGAAAUCUUCUGAGUUAAUACCUCGGGAGGAUGACGGUACCUGAAGAAUAAGCACCGGCUAACUACGUGCCAGCAGCCGCGGUAAUACGUAGGGUGCAAGCGUUAAUCGGAAUUACCGGGCGUAAAGCGUGCGCAGGCGGUUUUGUAAGACAGAGGUGAAAUCCCCGGGCUCAACCUGGGAACUGCCUUUGUGACUGCAAGGCUUGAGUGCGGCAGAGGGGGGAUGGAAUUCCGCGUGUAGCAGUGAAAUGCGUAGAUAUGCGGAGGAACACCGAUGGCGAAGGCAAUCCCCUGGGCCUGCACUGACGCUCAUGCACGAAAGCGUGGGGAGCAAACAGGAUUAGAUACCCUGGUAGUCCACGCCCUAAACGAUGUCAACUGGUUGUUGGGAAGGUUCCUUCUCAGUAACGUAGCUAACGCGUGAAGUUGACCGCCUGGGGAGUACGGCCGCAAGGUUGAAACUUAAAUGAAUUGACGGGGUCAUAGCUGUUUCCUG
Molecule: ribosomal RNA, 587 nt
Filed under: uncultured bacterium
Lineage: Bacteria
Description: partial 16S ribosomal RNA
Rfam family: Bacterial small subunit ribosomal RNA
Source: RNAcentral